AGAAUCAACGCUGGCGGCGUGCCUAACACAUGCAAGUCGAACGAGAAAGUGGAGCAAUCCAUGAGUAAAGUGGCGCACGGGUGAGUAACACGUGACUAACCUACCCCUUGAGUGGGGAAUAACUUCGGGAAACCGAGGCUAAUACCGCAUAACACCUACGGGUCAAAGGAGCAAUUCGCUUAAGGAGGGGUCGCGGCAGAUUAGUUAGUUGGCAGGGUAAUGGCCUACCAAGACGGUGAUCUGUA
This 245-nucleotide ribosomal RNA is filed under the name uncultured bacterium. RNAcentral describes it as "partial small subunit ribosomal RNA". It matches the Rfam family "Bacterial small subunit ribosomal RNA", at positions 26 to 285 of the family's 1533-position model. The record is from RNAcentral.